RNAcentral lists this ribosomal RNA (408 nucleotides) under uncultured microorganism. Its description in RNAcentral is "bacterial SSU rRNA". It matches the Rfam family "Archaeal small subunit ribosomal RNA", at positions 330 to 745 of the family's 1478-position model. The record is from RNAcentral.
GUGCAGCAGUCGCGAAACUUUACAAUGUGCGAAAGCACGAUAAGGGAACUCUGAGUGCCUCCUAAGGAGGCUGUUCAGGUGUCUAAAAGCACCUGAAGGAAGGGCUGGGUAAGACCGGUGCCAGCCGCCGCGGUAACACCGGCAGCCCAAGUGGUAGCCACGUUUAUUGGGUCUAAAGCGUCCGUAGCCGGCUGGGUAAGUUCCUUGGGAAAUUUGGCUGCUUAACAGUCAAGCUUUCAGGGAAUACUGCCCGGCUUGGGACCGGGAGAGGUCAGAGGUACUCCAGGGGUAGGGGUGAAAUCCAUUAAUCCUUGGGGGACCACCGGUAGCGAAGGCGUCUGACCAGACCGGGUCCGACGGUGAGGGACGAAGGCUAGGGGCGCGAACCGGAUUAGAUACCCGUGUAGU